AGGGCUUGACAUCCCCCUGACGGGCCGAGAGAUCGGUCGUCCCUUCGGGGCAGGGGAGAU
Molecule: ribosomal RNA, 60 nt
Filed under: uncultured organism
Description: partial 16S ribosomal RNA
Source: RNAcentral